RNAcentral lists this ribosomal RNA (507 nucleotides) under uncultured bacterium. RNAcentral's name for it is "partial 16S ribosomal RNA". The record is from RNAcentral.
GGAGUUAGCCGGUGCUUCUUCUGUGAGUGAUGUCCUUCCUGCCGGCUAUUAACCCGCAGGCCUUCUUCCUCACUGAAAGUGCUUUACAACCCGAAGGCCUUCUUCACACACGCGGCAUGGCUGGAUCAGGGUUGCCCCCAUUGUCCAAUAUUCCCCACUGCUGCCUCCCGUAGGAGUCUGGGCCGUGUCUCAGUCCCAGUGUGGCUGAUCAUCCUCUCAGACCAUCUACGGAUCGUCGCCUUGGUGAGCCGUUACCUCACCAACCAGCUAAUCCGACAUAGGCUCAUCCGAUAGCGCGAGGCCCGAAGGUCCCCCGCUUUCCCCCGUAGGGCGUAUGCGGUAUUAGCCUGGGUUUCCCCAGGUUAUCCCCCACUACCGGGCAGAUUCCUAUGCAUUACUCACCCGUCCGCCGCUCGCCACCAGGGAGCAAGCUCCCCGUGCUGCCGCUCGACUUGCAUGUGUUAGGCCUGCCGCCAGCGUUCAAUCUGAACCAAGAUCAAAUUCUGA